UGGCGGCGUGCCUAACACAUGCAAGUCGAACGAGAAAGCGGGGGCAACUCCGCAAGUAAAGUGGCGACCGGGUGAGUAACACGUGACUAACCUACCCUCGGGUGGGGAAUAACCCCGGGAAACCGGGGCUAAUACCGCAUAACAUCCGCGGGGCGAAAGCUCUGCGGAUCAAAGGAGCAAUUCGCUUGAGGAGGGGGUCGCGGCCGAUUAACUAGUUGGCGGGGUAACGGCCCACCAAGGCUGAGAUCGGUAGCCGGCCUGAGAGGGCGCACGGCCACACUGGAACUGAAACACGGUCCAGACUCCUACGGGAGGCAGCAGUGGGGAAUUUUGCGCAAUGGGGGGAACCCUGACGCAGCAACGCCGCGUGGAGGAUGAAGUCCCUUGGGACGUAAACUCCUUUCGACCGGGAAGAUAAUGACGGUACCGGAAGAAGAAGCACCGGCUAACUCUGUGCCAGCAGCCGCGGUAAUACAGAGGGUGCGAGCGUUGUUCGGAAUUAUUGGGCGUAAAGGGCGCGUAUGCGGUGCGGUAAGUCACCUGUGAAAUCUCCUGGCUCAACUGGGAGCUUGC
This 573-nucleotide ribosomal RNA is filed under the name uncultured bacterium. RNAcentral's name for it is "bacterial SSU rRNA". It matches the Rfam family "Bacterial small subunit ribosomal RNA", at positions 37 to 624 of the family's 1533-position model. The record is from RNAcentral.